GACGAACGCUGGCGGCGUGCUUAACACAUGCAAGUCGAACGGAAAGGCCCUGCUUUUGUGGGGUGCUCGAGUGGCGAACGGGUGAGUAACACGUGAGUAACCUGCCCUUGACUUUGGGAUAACUUCAGGAAACUGGGGCUAAUACCGGAUAGGAGCUCCUGCUGCAUGGUGGGGGUUGGAAAGUUUCGGCGGUUGGGGAUGGACUCGCGGCUUAUCAGCGUGUUGGUGGGGUAGUGGCUUACCAAGGCUUUGACGGGUAGCCGGCCUGAGGGGGUGACCGGCCACAUGGGGGCGUAGAGACGGCCCAAACUCCUACGGGGAGCAACAGAGGGGGAAAAUGCACCAUGGGCCGGAGCCGGAUGGAGCAACGCCGCGUGCGGGAUGACGGCCUUCGGGUUUGAAACCGCUUUCGCCUUUGACGAAGCGUGAGGUACGGUAAUGGGUAAAGGAGCACCGGCUAACUACGUG
RNAcentral lists this ribosomal RNA (468 nucleotides) under uncultured bacterium. RNAcentral's name for it is "partial 16S ribosomal RNA". It matches the Rfam family "Bacterial small subunit ribosomal RNA", at positions 28 to 507 of the family's 1533-position model. The record is from RNAcentral.